GAUGAACGCUGGCGGCGUGCCUAAUACAUGCGAGUAGAACGCUGAAGGAGGAGCUUGCUCUUCUGGAUGAGUUGCGAACGGGUGAGUAACGCGUAGGUAACCUGCCUGGUAGCGGGGGAUAACUAUUGGAAACGAUAGCUAAUACCGCAUGACAACAGUUAUUGCAUGAUAACUGUUUAAAAGGGGCAACUGCUCCACUACCAGAUGGACCUGCGUUGUAUUAGCUAGUUGGUGAGGUAACGGCUCACCAAGGCGACGAUACAUAGCCGACCUGAGAGGGUGAUCGGCCACACUGGGACUGAGACACGGCCCAGACUCCUAUGGGAGGCAGCAGUAGGGAAUCUUCGGCAAUGGACGGAAGUCUGACCGAGCAACGCCGCGUGAGUGAAGAAGGUUUUCGGAUCGUAAAGCUCUGUUGUAAGAGAAGAACGAGUGUGAGAGUGGAAAGUUCACACUGUGACGGUAUCUUACCAGAAAGGGACGGCUAACUACGUG
This 495-nucleotide ribosomal RNA is filed under the name uncultured bacterium. RNAcentral describes it as "partial 16S ribosomal RNA". It matches the Rfam family "Bacterial small subunit ribosomal RNA", at positions 28 to 507 of the family's 1533-position model. The record is from RNAcentral.